Non-coding RNA from Leptonychotes weddellii (Weddell seal), 2524 nucleotides. Lineage: Eukaryota; Metazoa; Chordata; Mammalia; Carnivora; Phocidae. The record is from RefSeq and is a predicted model, not a curated record.
UCGCUGUGUCUCUCUAGGUCAAAUAAAUAAAAUCUUAAAAAAAAAAAAAAAAGAAUGUUUCUCAGCCUUUCUCUUUAUACUCCAGGCUCUGGUCUAAGGCAUUUAUGUAGAAACUUGGACCUACAGCCUCAGUACCACUAAUCCUGUUUGUCCUGUCCUAUGAAGUUCAUUCUCUGUAUCUGUCAUCUGGCUCAAAAGUCCAUGUUUCUCACAGGAUUGGCCAGGAGUUGAUGAUAGCUGGAGUUGGGUUUUUUAUAUUAGGCUUGCUACUUUUAAAAUACAUAUUUGAAAUUUUCCAUAAUCAAUUUUUUAAAAUUCAUAUUUCUUUAGCAGGGGCUUCUGCAACAUACCUAUCCGACUAAAUUUUUUGUUUUAAAGUGAUGCUGAAUUGCAGUCCACAAGUAAACCAUAGAUGGAUCUCUAGACAGUCCCACCCCCACCCCCACAGCCACCCAAAUCAGACAUUCAAAACUCCAAAGUUACAGACAUGAACUGGGAUGAUUUUUCACCUUCACAAGCCAUUCUUCUCUUUAAACAUAGGAUUGACCUCAAAUUUAUUUUGAAAGGCCAACUUCUCUGGCAGGCAAAAUUUGAUUUGAUUUAUACACUAUGUUUUUCAAGAAUAUAAAUGUCAUGCAGCGCAGAGGACUUAUAUUCAGCCUGGCACAGUAUUUUACACAAUUUACAGGCUCCAGAGCCAGGGAAGGAAGCCCUCUCAUUCCCAGCCCUCUCAGUCAGAAACCAAAGCGUGAUGGAUGGAUGGAUGGCUGUCCUCAGCCACUUUUAGCUCCCAGCCUUAUUUUGUACUCCUUUGUGGCAGGUGGAUGAGGAGUCAGGUCUUCCCCAGAUUAGAGUUUCCCAAAGAUACACAGUCCAGGGAAAGGAGGGAGGCUGUUUGUGUUUUCCAAUUCAAGUCCCAUAUGGUUUCCCUGGGGCCAUUUUAUCUCUCAUGUCCUUUGGUGCUCUCCUCUUUGUCUUGCUGUUAUCCGAUCACCCAAGGCCUCUUCAGUCAUCACUGAGGAUAUUCCCACUGGUCAGGGAGCUCCCUGUGAGCAUCCCUUUUAGCACUGCUGUCACAUUUGAACAGCAUCUGCUUUCUGACAAGCUUGAAGACAGAGUGAAGGAAGUCGUCGAGACUUUCCCAGUGGAAGUGGAUAACACAAGCAGCCUUUGGGACUUGGAUCAAUACGCCGUGAGGUUAGUGGCCGGGCAGCUUGUACCAGGGGAAGGGAGGCUGAUUCCCAGAGGGGGCAAGGAUCUCGUGGUCUCAGCUCUGUCGUCUCUGCAGGGUCCUAAUGCUGGCAUGGUUCCCUAAGCCUUUGGCUCCAGGCUUUUCUAGACAAAACAGACGGAGGUAAAAUGCUUGCUUGUGUUUUAAAUAGAUUCUGCUCGCCGCAGCCAAGAAGCCCACAGCUUGGGAGGUGAAUGACCCUUUCUGAGAGGUUUCUGUUGCGCCAUGGCUUCCUGCUCCUGUUCCCUGACCUGACUGCACUGGUGUCAGGCGUCUGCUUGCUGCUCCCCGGACGGUUUCUCUUCAGGCCUUUCUGGUUUUAGUACUUACUACACUUUCAUGGGUUUUCGCUCUCUGCUCUUUCUUGCCCUGAAGCUGUUUUUCCUCAUACUGUGUAUCUUUCCAUCUCUUGUGUCCACUCUGUCAAGUGCGUGUCUCCAUCUGCUGCUCCUUGUCUGACUCUGCCACGGCUUCUCAAAUUGUCCUCUCGCCCGCACCUUCCCGUAGCCUGCUGGGGGACGACCCGCCCUCACCUGGGCUUUGUUGGCCCUGGAAAGAAGUCGGGUACAGGGAUUUCGAACGGAUGGCGGAGGAGCCUAUCCCAGUUGUGGGGCAUGUGACCGCACCAGUCUGGGUGGGGACCUCAGAGAUGCGGCUGUCGCUGGGCAGUGUGGCAGUGAAGUAGGCUGCUGGAGCCGGGAGAGCUAGCCCCUUUUUGGAACGCCUAGAAUGGAGUCCCUAUAGCAGUUCGACAGCUCAGCUGGAGUGCCCGUGGCAAAGGCAGCCCGCAGUGGUGCCCACCCAGAGAACCCUCCACGUACACGGGGGAGCAGGGCUGUUGGCCACGCCGGCUGGAGGGCUGGGACUGGUCUUGGGCAGGGCCUGGGCUGAGGGGUGGCUUCCGGCCAUGACGCCAGCCCUAUCGUGGCCUCCUCUGCCCCCAGGAAGUGAGCUGCAGAGAGGCUCGUGGUUGAAGAAAGAGAAAGGAAAACUCUUCUCUUGUUUAAAAAAUGUUUAAACUGAAGAGGUAAUAAAUGCAUAUGGCAAAGAAAUCAAAAGAUACAAAAGAAUGUAUGAUGAAAAGUCUCCCGCUUCUGUUCUCAAGUUCCCUUCCUCAGGCAUCCUGGAUGUACCAAUUUCUUGUACAUUCUUACUUCUCCUUUUUAGGUCUGCUGUAAUCCAGAAGUUUUUAGAUUCUUGACCCAAUGGAAUAUUUUAAAUUGUUCGGAUAUAUAUGUAUGUAUGUAAUGUGUGUGGAGGGACUAAAUGAUAAUAAAGAAAACUGUAUCUCGG